RNAcentral lists this ribosomal RNA (683 nucleotides) under Cuphophyllus pratensis. RNAcentral describes it as "eukaryotic LSU rRNA". The stretch from base 294 to 448 matches the Rfam family "5.8S ribosomal RNA". The record is from RNAcentral. Lineage: Eukaryota; Fungi; Basidiomycota; Agaricomycetes; Agaricales; Hygrophoraceae.
GCGGAAGGAUCAUUAUUGAAUAAAUAUAAUUUGGGAGGUUGUAGCUGGCUCUCUAUUGGGGAGCAAUGKGCACACCUUUCAAACUAUUUAUCUCCAACCCACCUGUGCACUUCUUGUAGAUGCUGGAUAAAAAACAACCAACUCCUUUGGAUUGAUUGUUAUUUUUUUGAGGGUUUGCUGUCAAGGCUGCCUUUGCUUGUUCAGUGUCUAUGUAUUUUAUAAUAUACCCUACUUUUUAGUCUUUGAAUGUGUUAUCAAAAGGCAGCAAUGCCCUUUUGUUAUAAUAUUAAUACAACUUUCAACAACGGAUCUCUUGGCUCUCGCAUCGAUGAAGAACGCAGCGAAAUGCGAUAAGUAAUGUGAAUUGCAGAAUUCAGUGAAUCAUCGAAUCUUUGAACGCACCUUGCGCUCCUUGGUUAUUCCGAGGAGCAUGCCUGUUUGAGUGUCAUUAAAUUCUCAACCCCUCUUCAGUUUUCUGAAGGGGUGGAUUUGGAUGGUGGAGGUGUUUGCAGGCUUGAUCAAAGUCAGCUCCUCUUAAAUGCAUUAGCAGAACCCUUGCAUUGACUUGGUUUCUGGUGUGAUAAAUUAUCWGCGCCAUUCCAGUCGAUCAAAAAGUCAUGGUUUAGCUUCUAAUCUGUUUAUUGUCCUUGAAGGAUUAAAAACACUUUUUAACUGACCUCAAA